UAUAUAUAGGAAAGGGUCUCAUUUGGCCAAGACAUCACAAGCAAUAUACAAGUCCAGCGCACAUAGCCUUGUAAACAUUUUAUUGAGCAAUACAAAUGCGUUCCAGUUUCUGAAUCCAGCAACAGAUUUGAGUGUGAGGCUGACUUAGGGCUAAGAGAGUGCGAAUUUCGCGUCUAAGGCUGCACGACACAACGUGGGACAAAACCGGGCCGUGACACUAGUAAGCAUUUCUUUGAUCCAAUAGGAUCUGAAAAUCCUAAAAUUAUAAUUUUACUCUUUAUGCCUUUCCUAAUGUUGUCAGCUAUUUUGAGUUGGAAAAUACUAUCUAUUUUGCUAUUUGAUUUGUCAUUAAUCAUGAAAUUAUCAAAAUACACUAGAAAUACAUAAAAUACUCAAAUUAUAACAAAACAUACAUAAUUUAAAGGACUUGAACACGUAACAAUAGAAAUGUUAGUGAGACUUGGAGCACAAAAUAAUAAUUUUACCCUUUAUAAAUAUGUAUUCUCCACUACUUAACAACAUUAGAAAAAGAAUACUUGAAGAGCAUUGUUGAUAUGGUUUUGUCCAAAGACUUUCAGGUAUGUUUAAAGUUCUAAAAGUUGGAUAAAAUUAUUGAGUACUUGUAAACCAUUUUGAUCAAUAUCCGCUUUUUGCAAGAACCAUGGAGACUUAUCUAGUGUGUAGAUAUUUUCUAUGUACUUAAUGUGGGUAGGUGGUAGGUGGUAGUUGUGCAAUAACUUACUCCUUUGUACUCUAUAUAUAGGAAAGGGUCUCAUUUGGCCAAGACAUCACAAGCAAUAUACAAGUCCAGCGCACAUAGCCUUGUAAACAUUUUAUUGAGCAAUACAAAUGCUUUCCAGUUUCUGAAUCCAGCAACAAAUUUGAGUGUGAGGCUGACUUAGGGCUAAGAGAGUGCGAAUUUGGCGUCUAAGGCUGCACGACACAACGUGGGACAAAACCGGGCCGUGACACUAGUAAGCAUUUCUUUGAUCCAAUAGGAUCUGAAAAUCCUAAAAUUAUAAUUUUACUCUUUAUGCCUUUCCUAAUGUUGUCAGCUAUUUUGAGUUGGAAAAUACUAUCUAUUUUGCUAUUUGAUUUGUCAUUAAUAAUGAAAUUAUCAAAAUACACUAGAAAUACAUAAAAUACUCAAAUUAUAACAAAACAUACAUAAUUUAAAGGACUUGAACACAUAACAAUAGAAAUGUUAGUGAGACUUGGAGCACAAAAUAAUAAUUUUACCCUUUAUAAAUAUGUAUUCUCCACUACUUAACAACAUUAGAAAAAGAAUACUUGAAGAGCAUUGUUGAUAUGGUUUUGUCCAAAGACUUUCAGGUAUGUUUAAAGUUCUAAAAGUUGGAUAAAAUUAUUGAGUACUUGUAAACCAUUUUGAUCAAUAUCCGCUUUUUGCAAGAACCAUGGAGACUUAUCUAGUGUGUAGAUAUUUUCUAUGUACUUAAUGUGGGUAGGUGGUAGGUGGUAGUUGUGCAAUAACUUACUCCUUUGUACUCUAUAUAUAGGAAAGGGUCUCAUUUGGCCAAGACAUCACAAGCAAUAUACAAGUCCAGCGCACAUAGCCUUGUAAACAUUUUAUUGAGCAAUACAAAUGCUUUCCAGUUUCUGAAUCCAGCAACAGAUUUGAGUGUGAGGCUGACUUAGGGCUAAGAGAGUGCGAAUUUCGCGUCUAAGGCUGCACGACACAACGUGGGACAAAACCGGGUCGUGACACUAGUAAGCAUUUCUUUGAUCCAAUAGGAUCUGAAAAUCCUAAAAUUAUAAUUUUACUCUUUAUGCCUUUCCUAAUGUUGUCAGCUAUUUUGAGUUGGAAAAUACUAUCUAUUUUGCUAUUUGAUUUGUCAUUAAUCAUGAAAUUAUCAAAAUACACUAGAAAUACAUAAAAUACUCAAAUUAUAACAAAACAUACAUAAUUUAAAGGGCUUGAACACAUAACAAUAGAAAUGUUAGUGAGACUUGGAGCACAAAAUAAUAAUUUUACCCUUUAUAAAUAUGUAUUCUCCACUACUUAACAACAUUAGAAAAAGAAUACUUGAAGAGCAUUGUUGAUAUGGUUUUGUCCAAAGACUUUCAGGUAUGUUUAAAGUUCUAAAAGUUGGAUAAAAUUAUUGAGUACUUGUAAACCAUUUUGAUCAAUAUCCGCUUUUUGCAAGAACCAUGGAGACUUAUCUAGUGUGUAGAUAUUUUCUAUGUACUUAAUGUGGGUAGGUGGUAGGUGGUAGUUGUGCAAUAACUUACUCCUUUGUACUCUAUAUAUAGGAAAGGGUCUCAUUUGGCCAAGACAUCACAAGCAAUAUACAAGUCCAGCGCACAUAGCCUUGUAAACAUUUUAUUGAGCAAUACAAAUGCGUUCCAGUUUCUGAAUCCAGCAACAGAUUUGAGUGUGAGGCUGACUUAGGGCUAAGAGAGUGCGAAUUUGGCGUCUAAGGCUGCACGACACAACGUGGGACAAAACCGGGCCGUGACACUAGUAAGCAUUUCUUUGAUCCAAUAGGAUCUGAAAAUCCUAAAAUUAUAAUUUUACUCUUUAUGCCUUUCCUAAUGUUGUCAGCUAUUUUGAGUUGGAAAAUACUAUCUAUUUUGCUAUUUGAUUUGUCAUUAAUCAUGAAAUUAUCAAAAUACACUAGAAAUACAUAAAAUACUCAAAUUAUAACAAAACAUACAUAAUUUAAAGGACUUGAACACGUAACAAUAGAAAUGUUAGUGAGACUUGGAGCACAAAAUAAUAAUUUUACCCUUUAUAAAUAUGUAUUCUCCACUACUUAACAACAUUAGAAAAAGAAUACUUGAAGAGCAUUGUUGAUAUGGUUUUGUCCAAAGACUUUCAGGUAUGUUUAAAGUUCUAAAAGUUGGAUAAAAUUAUUGAGUACUUGUAAACCAUUUUGAUCAAUAUCCGCUUUUUGCAAGAACCAUGGAGACUUAUCUAGUGUGUAGAUAUUUUCUAUGUACUUAAUGUGGGUAGGUGGUAGGUGGUAGUUGUGCAAUAACUUACUCCUUUGUACUCUAUAUAUAGGAAAGGGUCUCAUUUGGCCAAGACAUCACAAGCAAUAUACAAGUCCAGCGCACAUAGCCUUGUAAACAUUUUAUUGAGCAAUACAAAUGCUUUCCAGUUUCUGAAUCCAACAACAGAUUUGAGUGUGAGGCUGACUUAGGGCUAAGAGAGUGCGAAUUUCACGUCUAAGGCUGCACGAUACAACGUGGGACAAAACCGGGUCGUGACACUAGUAAGCAUUUCUUUGAUCCAAUAGGAUCUGAAAAUCCUAAAAUUAUAAUUUUACUCUUUAUGCCUUUCCUAAUGUUGUCAGCUAUUUUGAGUUGGAAAAUACUAUCUAUUUUGCUAUUUGAUUUGUCAUUAAUCAUGAAAUUAUCAAAAUACACUAGAAAUACAUAAAAUACUCAAAUUAUAACAAAACAUACAUAAUUUAAAGGACUUGAACACAUAACAAUAGAAAUGUUAGUGAGACUUGGAGCACAAAAUUAUAAUUUUACCCUUUAUAAAUAUGUAUUCUCCACUACUUAACAACAUUAGAAAAAGAAUACUUGAAGAGCAUUGUUGAUAUGGUUUUGUCCAAAGA
RNAcentral lists this long non-coding RNA (3587 nucleotides) under Citrus x clementina. RNAcentral's name for it is "Citrus clementina (C. clementina) long non-coding RNA (CCLE_LNC000963)". Lineage: Eukaryota; Viridiplantae; Streptophyta; Magnoliopsida; Sapindales; Rutaceae. The record is from RNAcentral.